GAGAGGACGACCAAUCCGUCACUGGGACUGAGACACUGCCCAGACUCCUACGGGAGGCUGCAGUCGAGGCAUCUUUUGCAAUGUGCGCAAGCCUGACCAAAUGCGACGUUGCGUGGAGGACGAAGGCUUUCGGGUUGUAUACUCCUGUCAUUCGGUAACAAUCCCCCGCGUGUGAAUAGCACGUGGGGUUGAGUGCCGGAGGAGGAAGCCACGGCUAACUCUGUGCCAGCAGCCGCGGUAAUACAGAGGUGGCAAGCGUUGUUCGGAUUUACUGGGCGUAAAGGGUGCGUAGGUGGUUUCGUGUGUCGGAUGUGAAAUCUUGAGGCUUAACCUCAAAACUGCGUCCGAAACUACGGGGCUAGAGCAGAGGAUGGGAGAGCGGAAUUCUUGGUGUAGCGGUGAAAUGCGUUGAUAUCAAGACAGAACACCGGUGGCGAAGGCGGCUCUCUGGAAUCUUGCUGACACUGAGGCACGAAAGCGUGGGGAGCAAACAGGAUUAGAUACCCUGGUAGUCCACGCCCUAAACGGUGUGCACUUGGUGUGGGAGGAAUUAACCCCUCCCGUGCCGGAGCUAACGCGUUAAGUGCACCGCCUGGGGAGUACUGGUCGCCAGAUUAAAACUCAUAGGAUAGACCGGGGACCCGCACAAGUGGUGGAGCAUGUGGUUUUAUUCGAAGAUACGCGAAGAACCUCUACCUGGCCUUGACAUUGAUAGAAUCUGCUAGAGAUAGCGGAGUGCCCUUCGGGGAGCUUGAAAACAGGUGCUGCACGGCUGUCGUCAGCUCGUGUCGUGAGAUGUUGGGUUAAGUCCCGCAACGAGCGCAACCCUCGUUACUAGUUACUAACGGUUCGGCCGAGGACUCUAGUAAGACUGCCUUCGCAAGGAGGAGGAAGGUGAGGACGACGUCAAGUCAUCAUGGCCCUUACGACCAGGGCGACACACGUGCUACAAUGGGAUGUACAAUGAGACGCAAUACCGCGAGGUGGAGCAAAUCUAUAAAGCAUCUCUCAGUUCGGAUAGCAGUCUGCAACUCGACUGCUUGAAGCUGGAAUCACUAGUAAUCGUAGAUCAGCCAUGCUACGGUGAAUACGUUCCCGGGUCUUGUACUCACCGCCCGUCACACCAUGGGAGUUGAUUUCACCCGAAGCGGGGAAGCUAAACUGGCUACCCUCCACGGUGGAA
RNAcentral lists this ribosomal RNA (1183 nucleotides) under uncultured bacterium. Its description in RNAcentral is "bacterial SSU rRNA". It matches the Rfam family "Bacterial small subunit ribosomal RNA", at positions 294 to 1467 of the family's 1533-position model. The record is from RNAcentral.